Molecule: unclassified non-coding RNA, 524 nt
Filed under: Hevea brasiliensis (rubber tree)
Lineage: Eukaryota; Viridiplantae; Streptophyta; Magnoliopsida; Malpighiales; Euphorbiaceae
Source: RNAcentral
CUCGAAUUGAAAGCCACGUCUCGCCCACAUUCCUUAAUCUUCCCCUUGCAAAAUAUCUCAGCAAUUUCUCAUUACUCCACAAUCCCACAAAAAUUGAAGCUUUAAGCUCCAACAAGGACCUUUAUUUUUGUAUCCAAUUCUAUGGCAGCUGCUUCGUUGCUUGAAGCGAGCCCACUGAAAUGGCGGCAGAACCNNNNNNNNNAUCCAGUUAUCCCCGCCUCGUCCUCUUCCCUUUCUCCCCUAUCCCAUCCCUCUCAGACCUGCUAAAUUCGGCGAUACGAUAAAAGGUCAGAGCUUUGAUAAAUUCAGCGUUAAGUGCUCUUUCAUGGAUGAACUUUUAACGAACUCGGAUAAUAAUGCCCCAAGUUUGAGUUCGAGUUCGAAUUCCAAUCCCACAUCCGUUACUAGAUUAAUAACAGCUAACCCUUUUGAAAUCAUUUACAAUGCGAUCAUAAAAGCUCUGAAAGCGCUUAAAAAACCUGCAAUUGCAGCGAUUUUAGUGGGGCUUUUAUUGAUGUACGACC